UACGUAGGCAGCAAGCGUUGUUCGGAAUUACUGGGCGUAAGGAGUGUGUAGGCGGUGUUCUAAGUCUGGUGUGAAAUCUCCCGGCUCAACUGGGAGGGUGCGCUAGAAACUGGAAUGCUAGAGGAUGGGAGAGGUAAGCGGAAUUCCUGGUGUAGCGGUGAAAUGCGUAGAUAUCAGGAGGAACACCGGUGGCGAAGGCGGGUCUCUGGGCCGAUACUGACGCUGAGGAGCGAAAGCGUGGGGAGCGAACAGG
RNAcentral lists this ribosomal RNA (253 nucleotides) under uncultured bacterium. RNAcentral's name for it is "partial 16S ribosomal RNA". It matches the Rfam family "Bacterial small subunit ribosomal RNA", at positions 524 to 776 of the family's 1533-position model. The record is from RNAcentral.